UUUAAGCGCAGUGAUAAAUUUCCGUAUCUAACUUUAAUUGUCUGUUUUAUUUAAAUUUGUUAUAAUUAGUAUUAUUAUUAUUAUUAGAUGAUAAAACAUAAAUAAUACUUUAUACGUGACUUAUAUUUUUUAUGUUUUUAAAUUUUUUUUAAAUAAGACGAAUGAUUAAAAUUGGAUACGGAAAGUCAUGGUUAAGUUUAGA
Non-coding RNA from Oryza punctata, 202 nucleotides. The record is from Rfam. Lineage: Eukaryota; Viridiplantae; Streptophyta; Magnoliopsida; Poales; Poaceae.